This 687-nucleotide ribosomal RNA is filed under the name uncultured bacterium. Its description in RNAcentral is "bacterial SSU rRNA". It matches the Rfam family "Bacterial small subunit ribosomal RNA", at positions 73 to 776 of the family's 1533-position model. The record is from RNAcentral.
GUUACCUUCGGGUAAUGAGGAUGGCGGACGGGUGAGUAACGCGUAAGGAACUUGCCUCUUGGACUGGGACAACUGUUGGAAACGACAGCUAAUACCGGAUAUUAUGAGAUUCUCGCAUGAGAAACUUAUGAAAGCUAUAUGCGCCAAGAGAGAGCCUUGCGUUCCAUUAGCUAGUUGGUGGGGUAACGGCCCACCAAGGCGACGAUGGAUAGCCGGCCUGAGAGGGUGAACGGCCACAAGGGGACUGAGACACGGCCCUUACUCCUACGGGAGGCAGCAGUGGGGAAUAUUGGACAAUGGACCAAAAGUCUGAUCCAGCAAUUCUGUGUGCACGAUGAAGGUCUUCGGAUUGUAAAGUGCUUUCAGUUGGGAAGAAGCAAGUGACGGUACCAACAGAAGAAGCGACGGCUAAAUACGUGCCAGCAGCCGCGGUAAUACGUAUGUCGCAAGCGUUAUCCGGAUUUAUUGGGCGUAAAGCGCGUCUAGGCGGAAAAAUAAGUCUGAUGUUAAAAUGCGGGGCUCAACUCCGUAUUGCGUUGGAAACUGUUUUUCUAGAGUACUGGAGAGGUGGGCGGAACUACAAGUGUAGAGGUGAAAUUCGUAGAUAUUUGUAGGAAUGCCGAUGGAGAAGUCAGCUCACUGGACAGAUACUGACGCUGAAGCGCGAAAGCGUGGGGAGCAAACAGG